UACGUAGGGACCGAGCGUUGUCCGGAUUCAUUGGGCGUAAAGAGCUCGUAGGUGGUUUGUCGCGUUGUUCGUGAAAACUCACAGCUCAACUGUGGGCGUGCGGGCGAUACGGGCAGACUUGAGUACUGCAGGGGAGACUGGAAUUCCUGGUGUAGCGGUGGAAUGCGCAGAUAUCAGGAGGAACACCGGUGGCGAAGGCGGGUCUCUGGGCAGUAACUGACGCUGAGGAGCGAAAGCGUGGGGAGCGAACAGG
This 253-nucleotide ribosomal RNA is filed under the name uncultured bacterium. RNAcentral describes it as "partial 16S ribosomal RNA". It matches the Rfam family "Bacterial small subunit ribosomal RNA", at positions 524 to 776 of the family's 1533-position model. The record is from RNAcentral.